Molecule: ribosomal RNA, 331 nt
Filed under: Listeria monocytogenes
Lineage: Bacteria; Bacillati; Bacillota; Bacilli; Caryophanales; Listeriaceae
Description: bacterial SSU rRNA
Rfam family: Bacterial small subunit ribosomal RNA
Source: RNAcentral
UAUUUUAAAGAGAGUUUGAUCCUGGCUCAGGACGAACGCUGGCGGCGUGCCUAAUACAUGCAAGUCGAACGAACGGAGGAAGAGCUUGCUCUUCCAAAGUUAGUGGCGGACGGGUGAGUAACACGUGGGCAACCUGCCUGUAAGUUGGGGAUAACUCCGGGAAACCGGGGCUAAUACCGAAUGAUAAAGUUUGGCGCAUGCCACGCUUUUGAAAGAUGGUUUCGGCUAUCGCUUACAGAUGGGCCCGCGGUGCAUUAGCUAGUUGGUAGGGUAAUGGCCUACCAAGGCAACGAUGCAUAGCCGACCUGAGAGGGUGAUCGGCCACACUGGG